GACGAACGCUGGCGGCGUGCUUAACACAUGCAAGUCGAACGCGCCUGUCCUCUGGGUUUCUGGGGGGUGGGUGAGUGGCGAACGGGUGAGUAACACGUGAGUAACCUGCCCCCUUCUUCGGGAUAACGGUCUGAAAGGGCUGCUAAUACCGGGUAUUCACUGGUCUCCGCAUGGGGUCUGGUGGAAAGGUUUUUUUCUGGUGGGGGAUGGGCUCGCGGCCUAUCAGCUUGUUGGUGGGGUGAUGGCCCACCAAGGCUUUGACGGGUAGCCGGCCUGAGAGGGUGACCGGUAACAUUGGGACUGAGAUACGGCCCAGACUCCUACGGGAGGCAGCAGUGGGGAAUAUUGCACAAUGGGCGCAAGCCUGAUGCAGCGACGCCGCGUGAGGGAUGGAGGCCUUCGGGUUGUGAACCUCUUUCGCCCGUGGUCAAGCCGCGACGUGGGUCGUGGUGAGGGUAGUGGGUAAAGAAGCGCCGGCUAACUACGUG
This 488-nucleotide ribosomal RNA is filed under the name uncultured bacterium. RNAcentral's name for it is "partial 16S ribosomal RNA". It matches the Rfam family "Bacterial small subunit ribosomal RNA", at positions 28 to 507 of the family's 1533-position model. The record is from RNAcentral.